CCACAUUAUCAACUUAUGACCCCAACUCAAUUAUUAAAAAACCUCACAUUUUACUCAAGACAAGAGAA
Molecule: ribosomal RNA, 68 nt
Filed under: Boana balzani (Yungas treefrog)
Lineage: Eukaryota; Metazoa; Chordata; Amphibia; Anura; Hylidae
Description: partial 16S ribosomal RNA
Source: RNAcentral